This is an RNA transcript of Eucalyptus grandis, 2828 nucleotides long. It is a transcript of the gene named sucrose synthase-like, with no coding region annotated. NCBI's taxonomy places the organism in Eukaryota, Viridiplantae, Streptophyta, Magnoliopsida, Myrtales, Myrtaceae. The transcript is spliced from 14 exons. The record is from RefSeq and is a predicted model, not a curated record.
UUCCUCAUUUUUCACCAUCCUCCGUUCGUUCGUUCCCUUCCCUUUCCAUUGUUGCGUUUAAGCCCUCCAAUUUUCUUUUGGCGUCCCGUUUUGGGGCUCCCUUGAAGAUCUCCUCUUCAUUUCGAUUUCCUGCCUUCGCCGCGCCAUUUGAAGUUCUUUUUCUGAGAGAAGAAUUUAGACAUGGCUGAUCGCAUGUUGACUCGAAGCCACAGCCUUCGCGAGCGUUUGGACGAGACCCUCUCUGCUCACCGCAACGAUAUUGUGGCCUUCCUUUCAAGGGUUGAAGCCAAGGGCAAAGGCAUCUUGCAGCGCCACCAGAUUUUUGCUGAGUUUGAGGCCAUCUCUGAGGAGAGCAGAACAAAGCUUGAUGGGGCCUUCGGUGAAGUCCUCAAAUCCACUCAGGAAGCGAUUGUGUCGCCUCCAUGGGUUGCUCUUGCUGUUCGUCCAAGGCCGGGUGUGGGAGCACAUCCGUGUGAACGUCCAUGCGCUUGUUCUUUGAGCAAUUGGAGGUUGCUGAGUAUCUGCACUUCAAAGAAGAGCUUGCUGAUGGAAGCUUGAAUGGCAACUUCUUGCAUGAGCUUGACUUUGAGCCAUUCACUGCCUCUUUUCCGCGCCCGACUCUUUCCAAGUCUAUUGGCAAUGGCGUCGAGUUUCUCAAUCGCCAUCUCUCCGCUAAGCUCUUCCAUGACAAGGAAAGCUUGCACCCUCUGCUUGAAUUCCUCCAAGUCCACUGCUACAAGGGGAAGAACAUGAUGGUGAAUGCCAGAAUCCAGAAUGUGUUCUCCCUCCAACAUGUCCUGAGGAAGGCGGAGGAGUAUCUGAUCACGCUCAAACCCGAGACCCCGUACUCCCAGUUCGAGCACAAGUUCCAGGAGAUCGGGCUCGAGCGGGGGUGGGGUGACACGGCUGAGCGCGUCCUUGAGAUGAUCCAGCUCCUGUUGGAUCUCCUUGAGGCUCCCGAUCCGUGCACUCUCGAGAAGUUCUUGGAUAGGGUUCCCAUGGUCUUCAACGUCGUGAUCAUGUCUCCCAUGGAUACUUUGCUCAGGACGAUGUCCUUGGUUAUCCGGAUACCGGUGGCCAGGUUGUUUACAUCCUGGAUCAAGUUCGUGCCCUAGAGGAAGAAAUGCUUCACCGCAUUAAGCAACAAGGACUGGAUAUUACUCCUCGGAUUCUCAUUAUCACUCGGCUUCUUCCAGAUGCGGUUGGAACCACCUGUGGCCAGCGCCUUGAGAAAGUUUUGGGACCGAGUACUCCACAUUCUUCGCGUCCCCUUCAGAAAUGAGAAGGAGUCGUCCGCAAGUGGAUUUCCCGGUUCGAGGUGUGGCCCUAUUUGGAAAGAUACACUGAGGAUGUCGCGAGCGAACUUGCUGGAGAGUUGCAGGGCAACCUGAUCUGAUCAUCGGAAACUACAGUGAUGGAAACAUUGUUGCUUCCUUGUUAGCACAUAAAUUAGGUGUUACACAGUGUACAAUAGCCCAUGCCCUCGAGAAGACGAAGUACCCAGAGUCAGACAUAUACUGGAAGAAAUUUGAGGAAAAGUACCACUUCUCUUGCCAGUUCACUGCUGAUCUCAUCGCCAUGAACCACACCGACUUCAUUAUCACCAGCACCUUCCAAGAAAUUGCUGGAAGCAAGGAUACAGUGGGGCAGUAUGAGAGUCACAUGAACUUCACUCUUCCUGGACUCUACCGAGUUGUCCACGGGAUCGACGUCUUCGACCCGAAGUUCAACAUUGUUUCACCAGGUGCUGACAUGAGCAUCUACUUUGCUUACACCGAACAGGAGCGGCGGUUGAAAUCCUUCCACCCUGAGAUCGAGGAACUCCUCUUCAGCGAUGUUGAGAACAAGGAACACUUGUGUGUGUUGAAAGAUAAGAAGAAGCCUAUUAUUUUCACCAUGGCAAGGCUGGACCGUGUCAAGAACUUGACAGGGCUUGUUGAGUGGUAUGGCAAGAACUCCAAGUUGAGGGAACUCGCCAACUUGGUCGUGGUUGGAGGUGACAGGAGGAAGGAUUCGAAGGACUUGGAAGAGCAGUCUGAGAUGAAGAAAAUGUACGACCUCAUCGAAAAGUACAAGCUGAAUGGCCAGUGCAGGUGGAUUUCAUUUCAGAUGAACCGGGUGAGGAACGGAGAGCUCUACCGCUACAUCUGCGACAUGAAAGGAGUCUUCGUUCAACCAGCUAUCUAUGAUGCUUUCGGGAUGACCGUGGUUGAGGCCAUGACAUGUGGAUUGCCGACCUUUGCCACUUGCAAUGGCGCAACAGCUGAUAUCAUCAUGCAUGGUAAAUCAGGCUACCACAUUGAUCCUUACCAUGGUGAACAGGUGGCUGAGCUUCUUGUGGACUUCUUCGAGAAGUGCAAGACCGACCAGAGCCACUGGGACAAAAUCUCGAAGGGCGCCAUGCAGAGAAUUGAAGAGAAGUAUACAUGGAAAAUAUAUUCUGAGAGGCUGUUGAACCUGACUGCCGUGUAUGGCUUCUGGAAGCAUGUGACUAACCUUGAUCGGCGAGAGUCGCCGGUACCUUGAAAUGUUCUAUGCCCUCAAGUAUCGCCCACUGGCACAGUCUGUUCCUCCGGCUGUCGAGUAAACAAAGAGACAGAUUGUUACCAGAAGACGGAAGCAUUGGACUUUUGAAGUUUUCAAGGAAUAAACAUUGGAAAUUGUUUGAAUUUGGGAUUGCCAAGAGCGAUCUUUUUAUUUCCUUUUUUUGGUCCUUUUCUCUCCUUUGUUUCCAUUCCGCGAAUGUUUGCAUUUUGGGGUUUGUACCCAUCAAUUCAGUAAAUGGUUCAUUUUCUUUUCAACUUGUCAAUCCCACUCCGUAUUUCGUA